UGGCGGACGGGGGAGUAAUGUCUGGGAAACUGCCUGAUGGAGGGGGGUAACUACUGGAAACGGUAGCUAAUACCGCAUAACGUCGCAAGACCAAAGAGGGGGACCUUCGGGCCUCUUGCCAUCGGAUGUGCCCAGAUGGGAUUAGCUAGUAGGUGGGGUAAAGGCUCACCUAGGCGACGAUCCCUAGCUGGUCUGAGAGGAUGACCAGCCACACUGGAACUGAGACACGGUCCAG
RNAcentral lists this ribosomal RNA (235 nucleotides) under uncultured bacterium. RNAcentral describes it as "partial 16S ribosomal RNA". It matches the Rfam family "Bacterial small subunit ribosomal RNA", at positions 96 to 334 of the family's 1533-position model. The record is from RNAcentral.